RNAcentral lists this long non-coding RNA (282 nucleotides) under Pan troglodytes (chimpanzee). RNAcentral's name for it is "long non-coding RNA NONPTRT005323". Lineage: Eukaryota; Metazoa; Chordata; Mammalia; Primates; Hominidae. The record is from RNAcentral.
UCAGAAGGAAAAAAGGGUCAGGGCAGUGGCUAAAGAAUAUUGUGGGAUAAAAGAGUCUUUUGUUUUGUUUUGUUUUCAGGUGGAAGCAAAUACUGCACAUGCGUGUUGGUCCUGUGAGGGAAACCAGCUAGUGGAGAGGGAGAGGUUGAAGGAACAGAAAAAUGAGAAGAUAACUCACUGGAGGCUGAAGUGGGAGGAUCGCUUGAGUCUGGAAGCUUGAGACUGCAGCAAGCUGUGAUCGUGACACUGCACUCCAGCCUGGGCAACAAAGUAAGAUCCUGU